Molecule: long non-coding RNA, 3351 nt
Organism: Pongo pygmaeus (Bornean orangutan)
Lineage: Eukaryota; Metazoa; Chordata; Mammalia; Primates; Hominidae
Exons: 4
Source: RefSeq, a predicted model, not a curated record
GCUGUCUUAUAGGAGACAUUCAGUGGCUUCAACCUGCUCUGUGCAGUCAGAGCCCUGCCCUUCAGACACUAAGGUUGUUUUAUUUUUAGUUUCAGAAGAAUCCCUGCUUUCAGAGGAACUUCAAGUUAUAUUUGUCUGUGUGUGUCCAAAGACAGAUUAAAUGAUUCCAGUGGACAUACUGCUCUGAUUAUGAGCUACAUCCAACCCCUGGCAGCAUGCACCAUUGCUUUGGGAAAUAUGUCACAGCAAUUAUAUCCUUAUUCCUCUUGAGCUUCUUCCUCCAUGAGAAAAUCCAAAAUGCUGGAUAUAAACUUCUGUUGAAGGAAAAGGAGGACAUAGCUUCGCAAAUAGCUGUCAAACAAAUCAACUCUGAAAGCAAGAACCAUCUGCGAACCUUCAAGGAGAUGCAGAGAGACUUCCCUCUUCUCCAGCAUGCCAGCUACCAAUUCCUGGCUAGAGCCCCUCCCCAGGAAAAGAGACUGCUGACCGUGGGGAUUGCCUCAAUGCAGCAUCCUCGUGGGAGCUACCUCUUGGACAUCCUGUAGUCCGUGUUCCAAGCUUCCUCAGAACAUGAGCUGGAGUAUAUCAUGGUGCUGGUCCACCCGUCAGGUCCUGACCCUGAAUGGCUUGGCCAAACAGCUGCCAAUAUUUCAGGUCUCUUCACAGCACAGACUGGGGCCGGGAAGCUGCUGGUGAUCCAUGGUAGCUCCCCUCUCCCAGGAGAUCUGAGUGACGUUAAUCACUCGUCACCCUGUGAAGCCCUCUGUUCCAGACAGAAAGUAGAUCAUGCCCUCCUCAUGAACUUCGCUAGCAACCUCUCUGAUUACUUUCUAUUGGUGGAAGAUCAUAUUGAUUGCACCCCUAAAUUUGUUGCUGCUGUCUCUUCAGCAUUAUUAGCCUGGAAAGAACUAUGUUGGGUGAUCCUGGAGUUCUCCCACCUGAGCAUCUCUGGGAAAGUUUUCCACACCAGUGACCUCUCUCGCCUGACCACUUUCUUGUUCCUCUUCCAUAAGGACACUCGUACUCACUUGCUUCUGUCAAAUUUUGGUUUCCUCUUGGGCCAGACAGUUUCAAUUAGCCUCGCUCCCAGUCUCUUCCACUCUAGGGACUAUAAUUUUACUUCCAAGGACACAUGUUACCAAAAGGAGAAAGUAAAGGAAGAGAAUCUUGGUGAGCCAAACAAUCCUCCUGCCCUCAUUUAUACUAACAUAGUAAUGAAAAGCUUUCAUCAGCCAGAAUAUGCCUAUUCACUGAAGGAAAAAUACCUCCAGACUAAGUAUCUCAUUCUAGGCCACUCAUAUACUGCGGUUUUCAGUCAGAUUCACAAGGUGAUCCAGAUAGUUUCUGACAGGCAUUGGUAAGCAGGCAAUAUAUUGCCUGCAACAUGGGCAGGUAGAACUGGGCUAUGAGCCUGUUCUGGAGGGAAAAGUCUGUGCCCACUAUACCCUGCUGGGACCACUGAUAAAGGGGAAAUUCAAUCAGAAGGUAUACAGUGAAGACUUUGUGGGGACAGUGAGAUGCGUACGACUGCUGGUAACAGGCUCUCAGGAGUCCACAGUGUGGAUUAGACAGAUCAACAUCUGGACUAAGUCUGAGAAAGGAUAGGGAUAAAAGGGUCAAUGUGAAUUCUGGAAGGAUCAGGUUUGGGGAUGUACUCAACACAGAUGAUAAGAAAUUAAAGCUUUGAAUUCAGUCAUGAGUACCAUGUUUAUAGUCAUUCCAGGGUACUCAAUAUAAAUGAUAUAUCUUAUAAGAGGCAGAAAGAGAAUUGGGUCCUUCUGACCCCCAAGAGCCAGAGAGAUGAAAGUAUUCACCAAGAUCUUCCCCAGUUUUCUCUCUACAUGGAUCUCUUAUCCUAGGAUCUUUCCCUGAGGUAGGUAUCAUUUAUGGAAUAUUGAGAAUGGCCUGAAAUGUGACUUGAAGGUAGAACUGGCUUUUGCCUUCAUGCACGGUCCAGUCUUCCAAAAUUCCAAACAUCGGACCUCACCAAGAGUCCAAACAUGGACUUUCAGCUGUCUGUGAAUUCCCAAGAAGUCGAUGCAGCCUUUGCAUGUUUUCGUAUUUACAUUUUCCUACAGCAAAGAUCCAUAACUUUCAUCAGUGUUCCAUAUGCCCAAACAAAAGCAUAAAAAUUACUAAAUUGGUAGAUACGGUUUCUUGAUGGAAAUAAGCAAUUUAUUACCUAAGGACAUGAAACCAUCCAGUUAGCAUUUUUAGUUUAAGAAUUGAGGGCCAAGCAUGGUGACUCAUGCCUGUAAUCCAGCACUUUGGGAGGCAUAGGCAGGCGGAUUGCUUGAGCUCAGGAAUUCAAGACCAGCCUGGGCAACAUGACAAAACCCCAUCUCUACAAAAAAAAUACAAAAAUUAGCCAGGUGUGGUGGCAUCUGCCUAUAGUCCCAGCUAUUCAGGAGGCUGAGGUGGAAGAAUUGCUUGAGCCCAGGGAGGUUGAGGCUGCACUGGAGCCCUGAUCAUGCCACUGCACUCUAGGGCAACAGAGAGAGACUCUGUCUCAAAAAAAAAAAAAAAAAAGAAAAGAAUUCAGAGCAUAUAUAAAUUCAUUCCUUCAUAUAUUUAUUCUGGGGUAUGGCUUUUGUGAGUUCUUUUUGUUGGGCCUUAUUUAAAAGGUAGUAAAGAUUCUACAAACUUCCCUCUUAGUACUGCUUUUACUGUAUCUCAUAGAUUUUUGGUAUGUUGUAUUCCAUCUUCAUUUGUUUCAAUAAUUUUUAAAAUUUUCUUCUUAACUUCUUCAUUGAUCCAUUGGUCAUUCAGGAGCAGGUUGUUUAAUUUCCAUGUGUUUGUGAAGUUUCUGAGGUCCUCUUGUUGAUUUCUAAUUUUAUUCCAUUGUAGUCAGAAAACAUACUUGACAUAAUUUCUACACUUUUUUGAAUUUGUUCAGAUUUGUUUUGUGGUCCAAGAUAUGGUUUAUUCUAGAGAAUGUUCCAUGUUUUGAUGAAAAGAAUGUGUAUCCUGCAGCAGUUAGGUGAAAUGUUCUAUAAAUGUCAGUUAGACCUAGUAGGUCUGAUGUGUAGAUUAACUCUAGUGUUUCUUUGUUAAUUUUCUAUCUGGACAAUCUGUCCAUUACUGAGAGUGGAGUGUUAAAGUCCCCUACUAUUACUGUAUUGUAGUCUAUCUCUCCCUUUAAAUCUACUAAUGUUUGCUUUAUAUACUUGAAAGUUCCAGUGUUGGGUACACAGAUAUUUAUAAUUGUUAUAUUCUCUUGCUGAACUGACCCCUUUAUCAUUAUAUAGUGAGGAGGCUGAGGCAAGAGAAUUGCUUGAACCUGGGAGGUGGAGAUUGCAGUGAGCCAAGAUCAUGCCACUGCACUCCAACCUGGGCAACAGAGUGAGACUC